UACAGAGGUCUCAAGCGUUGUUCGGAUUCAUUGGGCGUAAAGGGUGCGUAGGUGGCGCGGUAAGUCGGGUGUGAAAUCUCGGAGCUUAACUCCGAAAUUGCAUUCGAUACUGCCGUGCUCGAGGACUGGAGAGGAGACUGGAAUUCAUGGUGUAGCAGUGAAAUGCGUAGAGAUCAUGAGGAAGACCAGUGGCGAAGGCGGGUCUCUGGACAGUUCCUGACACUGAGGAGCGAAAGCGUGGGGAGCGAACAGG
RNAcentral lists this ribosomal RNA (253 nucleotides) under uncultured bacterium. RNAcentral's name for it is "partial 16S ribosomal RNA". It matches the Rfam family "Bacterial small subunit ribosomal RNA", at positions 524 to 776 of the family's 1533-position model. The record is from RNAcentral.